Amphiprion ocellaris (clown anemonefish) is the source of this 1827-nucleotide long non-coding RNA. The record is from Ensembl. NCBI's taxonomy places the organism in Eukaryota, Metazoa, Chordata, Actinopteri, Pomacentridae.
CUCUCAUUUAACUCGCUAAAAUAGCUUUAUAAUAAUCAUAUUAAUAGUAAUAAUAUUAGCCAUUAGAAAAUGUUUUGACAACAUUGACAGUGUUACAUUCUGUGUUGGGGUAAACCACGUCACAGUGUGCCAUCUCUCUGGGCUUCAGCGCUAUCAGACGUGCUUCUUUUGACACAUCUAGAUCCAUAAAACAUACGAGAUCAAUAAAUUAAUUUGUAUGUACAAAAUGAGAACCACAACACAACAAACAGAAUCAUGAUUUACACUGUGCGUCGUCCUCCACUUGCUGUCCAGCGGGUUGCCAGAUUGCAGUCUCACCGUCACCGGUGUGUUCUCAUGCAUCAUGUGUAUCCAGUAGUGGCAUCAUGAAAAGUUUCUAUCUUAUGGCAUCUCUAUUGCUAUAUGGUCCAGUCAAUUCAUUUUAGAAGAGAAAAAAGAAAAGCAUCUCAUGUUUGUAUGUACAAUAUGCUGUCUUGGCACUGAAUCGAAUGUGUAUAAAACAAGAGAACUCAAGAACAAAGCUGAGCUUAAAGACAGAAAAGCUUGCUGUAUCAAACCCGUGUGAUAAAAAAAUCAUGGUGUUCAGUGAGAAAUACAAGGGAUGAAAGAGGAGGAGGAGGAGAGGAGGUGGAGAGAGUACAGAAGUAGGAGCUAUUUCAUUUUUGCUACAUUACAGAGAAGAAUACCAAGAGUGGAGCAUCUGUAUCGGGUUGAUGUCUGUGUUGUUUUCCUGCCUCUGGCAGCACUAAGAGUUCAGAGUGGAAUAAAAGCACAUGGAGAAAGAAGGUCUUACGUUUGGAUCUUCCAUUCAAUCCAUCUGUUCAAAGCUUACUUUCCUCUUUUGGUGAUCUCUCACUACUCUCUGGAGUGUCCAUCAUUGAUCCCAGAGAAAAAUGUCUUCCCAGAGUUAUUGUCAGUUUGCUUUUCCUCUUCUCCGUCUCCUCAGUAGCAGCGAUUUAUUUUCAUUAUAGAUGAAACAGUUUUUUCUGUUAUUGUACACAAGACUCGCCCUUGAAUACAGAACAAUGUUUAUCCAUAGCUAUAAUUGACAACACCAUUUAUAAUAAUGAAAGUGAUGGCAAUAAUUAAUCCUUUCAAUGACAAUAAUCAUACUAAUAAUAAUCAUAUUGUAAUAACAAUAUAUGUAAUAUUGAGAAGAGCAAUGUCCAUUGAUAACAGGUAUUUACAUUUCGUAAAUGUGACGGUGGCAAGGUGUCAUUCUUUUUUUGUGUAUUUUUUUAUUAGAUUAAUUACACAGUAAUUGCUCAGUUGUCUCUGAUCCACAUGGUUAGCUGUGUGUGUACUGUAAAGCAACAUUACAGUGUUAAUACACACGCAUACACGCACAAACAGAAUUAAACCUCAGUGCUAAAGGCACAUUGGAGUUUCAGUUCAACAUCUGUUUGAUGAGAGCUGCUCUGGAGGCAGAAGGGAAUAAAAGAAUCAACAAACAGGUUUCAAGAAAGUCUAGUCAAAGUGGAAGGUAAAGUAUUAAAGAUAUGAUCCUUAUGACUUCUAUUAAAUCACACUGAUGCUAGAUAAGGUCAAAGCUUUUCAGCAAUAGCCGUCCUGUAAGUGCCUCGCUGUUAAUAGGGGGGUCCUGUGCUGCCGCUGUACUUUUAUCUCAUUGAUAUCAGCUCUUUUAGACAUGUUUUCAUAUUUAAUGCAAAUAUUUAAUGAACUUCCACUAAAUCAGCCAGAGAAAAUGCUAAUCAAUGUGCAUAAUCAUCCACAGUGGGUGGCAGUAAUUGUCUAGUAAGGUGUCAUUAAAACACUGCAAACGAGAGCGGCGAGGUGGUUUCAUUAAAUGAGUCAAGUCAAACCGUA